GCUUUAACAGAGCAGAGCACGGUUCCUUAAUCCCACUCAACUUCUCACUUGCUGCUUUCUACAGGCAGGUCGCCAUAAAUGGACAUGAGACACAAGACUGGACUGGACCAAAGUGGCGGAUCGACCGAACAGACUGACCUACUCUGCAAUCCCCAAUGCCGGGCUGUCAACAUAUAUUAUCAUCCUCUAAAGGUGGAACAUUAGUUAAACAUUAGUUUACUUUGUUAUUUAUCCUUCACAGAUUUAUCCGAGUGACACAUACAGUUGGUUUAGUUCAUUUUGAAGUGCAGUUCUGAUUUAUUUUAUCAUGCUCAGGCAGGGUUGUUCACAUCAGAUGACAUUAAUGAGCAGAGGAGGUGACUGUCGGGCACAAAGCAGGGAUUUAUGUAUAUAUUAUGUGUUAUGUGUAAAUAUCAAUGUAACUAAAGCACAUUUACACCUGCCGUUUUACACACCCAAGCUUGGCA
Gasterosteus aculeatus aculeatus (three-spined stickleback) is the source of this 467-nucleotide long non-coding RNA. The record is from Ensembl. Lineage: Eukaryota; Metazoa; Chordata; Actinopteri; Perciformes; Gasterosteidae.